UCAUGAACACCGCGUCCCUGUGCGAUGGAACAUUAAUAGGCCUGACUUUUGGGAGUCCAAGAGGGCGUGUUGUCCACGACUACCCUCUGAGCAGAGCAACCACCAUCUUGCGUCCAGCUGCUCCCACUUGCGGAAGGAGCAUCCCAGCUGGGCUUGUUGACUGUGUCCAUCCCUUCAUGGAAGGGUGGGGAGGCUUACAAGACCUCACCUGAGUAGCCAGCAGCUUCCAACACCUGGUGUAUGCAAAUCUGCCUAAAUCCCACAAGGUCUAGGGGAGGGGCUAGAACAUUUAGGCCCUGGAGGCUGUGGAGAAGUUCCGUCUGCUCAGCUGCGGGGAGGCUCGCUCUCAUCCCGAUACAGCGCUGUCUGAGAAGAACACUAACACCCAGCAUGAGGUUUCCAGCUACCAGGAGUGUGUCCUUCUGCACGGCUAUGCCUUCUGAUAUCUGGAUGCCGUAUAGAGUUCCAGAAUAAAGCAAUUGAAGAUACAAAAGAACUGAGUAUGGUGGAACCUGCCAGUGAUAACCUUCUAGGCUGACGCAGGAGGAUUGCCACAAGUUCAAGGCCAGCCUGGGAUGCACAGCAAGACUAUCUCCGACAACCCCACCAAAGAAAAGGCAAAGGAAAUGUUUUGAUUCUUAUUUUUUAAUCUUCAAAAUUUUCUGCCAUGACAUCGGAAUGCAUGAUAGAAAUGGCUCAUCUUCACAUGAAACACUUGGGUUCAUUUUCAUUCACAAGUUUUUCUAAGAAAACAUUUACAAUUUCAUAAUCCCACAUCCUUCCGGUCAUUAUCACAGAUCUGACUGACACGAGACAGUAGUUGCCAGCACGAGGGGCUGGAACGCUUUCUGCGCAUGAGUAGUGUCUUUGGAAACUACCACCCAAGAGUAUCAUGAUUAUAAAUCUCAUUGUACAUGGCAACCCCAAAGGUGACAGAUGUCCCCAAAUAAAGUCCCUGUUUGUGGA
Long non-coding RNA from Mesocricetus auratus (golden hamster), 966 nucleotides. RefSeq lists it as uncharacterized. The record is from RefSeq and is a predicted model, not a curated record. Lineage: Eukaryota; Metazoa; Chordata; Mammalia; Rodentia; Cricetidae. The transcript has 2 exons.